GCUAGCGGCAGGCCUAACACAUGCAAGUCGAGGGGUAACAGGAAGUGCUUGCACUUCGCUGACGACCGGCGCACGGGUGAGUACCGCGUAUACAAUCUGCCUCAUACUAGGGGAUAGCCCGAAGAAAUUUGGAUUAAUACCCUAUAGUAUCUUUUUAAGGCAUCUUAUUAAGAUUAAAGGUUACGGUAUGAGAUGAGUAUGCGUUCUAUUAGCUAGUAGGUGUGGUAACGGCACACCUAGGCUACGAUAGAUAGGGGCCCUGAGAGGGGGAUCCCCCACACUGGUACUGAGACACGGACCAGACUCCUACGGGAGGCAGCAGUGAGGAAUAUUGGACAAUGGGCGAAAGCCUGAUCCAGCCAUGCCGCGUGCAGGAUGACUGCCCUAUGGGUUGUAAACUGCUUUUAUAUAGGAAGAAAAACUUUCUCGUGAGAAAGCUUGACGGUACUAUAAGAAUAAGGAUCGGCUAACUCCGUGCCAGCAGCCGCGGUAAUACGGAGGAUCCAAGCGUUAUCCGGAAUCAUUGGGUUUAAAGGGUCCGUAGGUGGACAAAUAAGUCAGAGGUGAAAUCCUGCAGCUCAACUGUAGAACUGCCUUUGAUACUGUUUGUCUUGAGUUAUUAUGAAGUGGUUAGAAUGUGUAGUGUAGCGGUGAAAUGCAUAGAUAUUACACAGAAUACCGAUUGCGAAGGCAGAUCACUAAUAAUUAACUGACACUGAGGGACGAAAGCGUGGGUAGCGAACAGGAUUAGAUACCCUGGUAGUCCACGCCGUAAACGAUGGUCACUAGCUGUUUGGACUUCGGUCUGAGUGGCUAAGCGAAAGUGAUAAGUGACCCACCUGGGGAGUACGU
Molecule: ribosomal RNA, 852 nt
Filed under: uncultured Flavobacteriaceae bacterium
Lineage: Bacteria; Pseudomonadati; Bacteroidota; Flavobacteriia; Flavobacteriales; Flavobacteriaceae
Description: bacterial SSU rRNA
Rfam family: Bacterial small subunit ribosomal RNA
Source: RNAcentral